Molecule: long non-coding RNA, 6028 nt
Filed under: Salmo salar (Atlantic salmon)
Lineage: Eukaryota; Metazoa; Chordata; Actinopteri; Salmoniformes; Salmonidae
Description: lncRNA (ENSSSAG00000093792.1)
Source: RNAcentral
CUCUUAUCCAGAGCGACUUACAGUAGUGAAUGCAUACAUUUCAUACAAUUUCAUACAUUUUUUUUCGUGUGUGUGUGUGUGUGUGUGUGUGUGUGUGUGUGUGUGUGUAAAAUGUGCAGCUUCACUGUUUUCAAGGGAACUGCUUUUUCACAGUCAACCUGAAUCCCAAACAGUGGGCGAAUGUGCUUUUCUCUACAGUUUCCAUGAGGGCAUUCCAUCUGCUUCCUGCCAUUCUUCCACAGGAAAUUCUGGGAACAGCGUCAGACAGGCCAUGGCAACCACUCCCACCUCACACUGAACCCACGGUAGAGGGCAAGUAACUACUAACCACCACUCUAUGCAACACGACGGCAACAUCUCGCUUCCAGGACCUUAACCAUACUCUCUCAUUAACACAGGCAAAUACACACAGACACACACUCAGGCCACAAGUUGAGAGAGCUGCCAUACACGGACACACUCAGAGAGACUCCAUACUCUCUCUAGUACGUUCAUGACAGUGGGUUCUCUUGCCCUGAGUGACCCCACACAUUUUACACAUUCAAUAAUACAUACACACAGUGGGAAUUUGCAAAGCUCCAGACAGAGGAAAAGCUGUGGAUUUGGACAUGGAUCUGCUUCUGUAUCCUGUCCCUCUGCUGAGUGUGUUUCUCCUCAUUCCAGCAGUUUCAGCCCAAUCUGCCAUCAAUCAGACCAACCAGAUAGAGGUUUCCAUGGUGACCUCACCCACAACACUGUCAUCCAACACUAUUCAUGUGGCUGGCAGCGUAACCACCCCAACUACAGCCCAUCCAAUGACUGAUGUGACAUCAUCCCCAGCACUCUCACCGCCAGGGAACAACCCUCUUGUGACAACCCUCAGUGUCCUGCAAUCAACAACCUCACCUGGAAAUGACAGCAGUGACAAUGAGGCACCCACAUCCUCACUUCGACUAUCGUGUCCUAAUGUCAGAAGCUCUGCUCAGACUAAAAUACCUAGUACGCACUCACAAGACACUGCUGCUGGACCAGUCUUAGGAUCAACAGCUGCUGCAACAGCAACUACUUCGACCUCUGUGACUUCCCCUGAGGGACCCAAAGGGACACACACAGACAUCCCUCCCACUCAGUCACCGGACAAGAGCCUCACCAUGCUCGCCUUUGGUGUCAUGAGUUUAAUCCUCAUUCUCGUCAUUAUCAUGGUGGUUUUAGUAACAGUGGUCAACCUAAAAGACAAGUGCAGCAACUCCAAGGAGGAAGGUAAAAAGAGCAGUGAUUCUGUGGUGUCUGAAAGCAAUGUCACGUUUAGUGGAGAAAAAGAGAGCAUCACUUUGAUCUCCAUGAAGACCAUUAACACAGAAACUGACACAGACUCCCCCCAGGUCUCCUCCAUUCACAGUACAACACUGGACUAUGAGGAGCAGGAGCUAAACACAGACCUACUGAACAAUAAGCUGGUGUGAAAAUAAAGACCCUAGAUGUUCCGUUCCAAAACACAGAAAUCACCAAACUACUCAAACAAAAUAGUACAGUGAUUGUUCUAUACAUCUGAGAUCAAGUUACCUGGAGUCCACACAGGACCUGAAUUCAUACCUGUGGGGAUAUUAUACAUUAAGCUAGAACUAGGCCUAUCGUUGUGUCUCAUGUUGCCAUUCUAAUACAAAUAUCACAUGUAUUUGUGUGAUGAUAUCAAAACUGCCUUUAUGGAGAUAAUGUUGUGUGUUCUGUUUCAUAUAUUUUGUAAUUUUAUUUCACCUUUAUUUAACCAGGUAGGCCAGUUGAGAGCAAGUUCUCAUUUACUACUGCGACCUGGCCAAGAUAAAGCAAAGCAGUGCGACAAAAACAACACAGAGUUACACAUGGGAUAAACAAACGUACAGUCAAUAACACAAUAGAAAAAUCUGUAUACAGUGUGUGCAAAUUAAGUAAGGAGAUAAGGCAAUAAAUAGGCCAAUAGUGGUGAAGUAUUUCAAAUUUAGCAAUUUACACUGGAGUGAUAUGUGCAGAUGAGGAUGUGCAAGUAGAAAUACUGGUGUGCAAAAGAGCAGAAAAACAAAAACAAAUAUGGGAGGAGGUAGGUAGUUGGUUGGAUGGGCUAUUUACAGAUGGGCUGUUUACAGCUGCAGCGAUCAGUAAGCUGCUCUGAUAGCUGACGCUUAAAGUUAGUGAGGGAGAUAUGUCUCCAACUUCAGUGAUUUUUGCAAUUCGUUCCAGUCAUUGGCAGCAGAGAACUGGAAGGAAAGGCAGCCAAACGAGGUGUUGGCUUUGGGGAUGACCAGUGAAAUAUACCUGCUGGAGUGCAUGCUACGGGUGGGUGUUGCUAUGGUGACCAGUGAGCUGAGAUAAGGCGGAGCUUUACCUAGCAAAAACGUAUAGAUGACCUGGAGCCAGUGGGUUUGGCGACGAAUUGGCGACGAAUAUGUAGCGAGGACCAGCCAAUGAGAGCAUACAGGUCACAGUGGUGGGUAGUAUAUGGGGCUUUGGUGACAAAACUGAUGGCACUGUGAUAGACUGCAUCCAAUUUGCUGAGUAGAGUGUUGAGGCUAUUUUGUAAAGGACAUCGGCGAAGUCAAGGAUCGGUAGGAUAGUCAGUUUUACGAGGGUAUGUUUGGCAGCAUGAGUGAAGGAGGCUUUGUUUCGAAACAGGAAGCCGAUUCUAGAUUUAACUUUGGAUUGGAGAUGCUUAAUGUGAGUCUGGAAGGAGAGUUUACAGUCUAACCAGACACCUAGGUAUUUAUAGUUGUCCACAUAUUCGAAGUCAAAACCGUCCAGAGUAGUGAUGCUAGUCAGGCGGGCGGGUGCGGGCAGCGAUCAGUUGAAGAGCAUGCAUUUCGUUUUACUUGCGUUUAAGAGCAGUUGGAGGCCACGGAAGGAGUGUUGUAUGGUGUUGAAGCUCGUUUAGAAGUUGUUAACACAGUGUCCAAAAUAGGGCCAGAUGUGUACAGAAUGGUGUCGUCUGUGUAAAGGUGGAUCAAAGAAUCACCCACAGCAAGAGUGACAUCAUUGAUAAAUACAGAGAAAAGAGUUGGCUCGAGAAUUGAACCCUGUGGCACCCCCAUAGAGACUGCCAGAGGUCCGGACAACAGGCCCUCCAAUUUGACACACUGAACUCUAUCUGAGAAGUAGUUAGUGAACCAGGCGAAGCAGUCAUUUGAGAAACCAAGGCUGUUGAAUCUGCCGAUAAGAAUACGGUGAUUGACAGAGUCGAAAGCAUUGGCCAGAUCGAUGAAGACGGCUGCACAGUACUGUAUUUUAUCGAUGGCGGUUAUGAUAUCGUUUAGGACCUUGAGUGUGGCUGAGGUGCACCCGUGACCAGCUCGGAAACCAGACUGCAUAGCGGAGAAGGUACGGUGGGAAUCGAAAUCGUCGGUGAUCUAUUUGUUCACUUGGCUUUCGAAGACUUUAGAAAGGCAGGGCAGGAUUGAUUUAGGUUGGUAACAGUUUGGGUCUAGAGUGUCUCCCCAUUUGAAGAGGCUGCUUUCCAAUCUUCAGGAUCUCAGACGGUACGAAAGAGAGGUUGAACAGACUAGUAAUAGGUGUUGCAGCAAUUGCGGUGGAUAAUUUUCGGAAGAGAGGGUCCAGAUUGUCUAGCCCAGCUGAUUUGUAGGGAUCCAGACUUUGCAGCUCUUUCAGAACAUCAUCUGUCUGGAUUUGGGGCUUGGGCCAGUUGCUACAGGGGGUGCAGAGCUGUUGGCCGGGGUUGGGGUAGCCAGGUGGAAAGUAUGGCCAGCCGUAGAGAAAUGCUUAUUGAAAUUCUCGAUUAUCGUGGUGACAUUGUUUCCUAGUCUCAGUGCAGUGGGCAGCUGGUAGGAGCUACUCUUAUUUUCCAUGGACUUAGUGCUGCAGGAUGCACAUUUCUGUUUGAAAAAGCUAGCCUUUGCUUUCCUCACCGUGUGUAUUGGUUCCUGACUUCCCUGAAAAGUCGCAUAUCGCGGGAACUAUUCGAAGCUAGUGCAGUAUGCCACAGGGUGUUUUUGUGCUGGUCAAAGGCAGUCAAGUCUGGAGUGAACCAAGGGCUAUAUCUGUUGUUAGUUAAAAAAAUUGGGAAGGGGCAUGCUUAUUUAAGAUGGUGAGGAAAGCACUUUUAAAGAACAACAGGCAUCCUCUACUGACGGGUGAGGUCAAUAUCCUUCCAGGAUACCCAGGCCAGGUCAAUUAGAAAGGCCUGCUCGCAGAAGUGUUUUAGGGAGCGUUUGACAGUGAUGAGGGGUGGUCGUUUGACCGCGGACCCAUAACGGUGGCAGGCAAUGAGGCAGUGAUCGCUGAGAUCCUGGUUGAAAACAGCAGAGGUGUAUUUAGAGGGCAAGUUGGUCAGGAUGAUAUCUAUGAGGGUGCCCAUGUUUACGGAUUUAGGGUUGUACCUGGUAGGUUCCUUGAUAAUUUGUGUGAGAUUGAGGGCAUCUAGCUUAGAUUGUAGGACAGCUGGGGUGUUAAGCAUAUCCCAAUUUAGGUCACCUAGCAGUACGAACUCUGACGAUAGAUGGGUGGCCUUCAAUUCAUAUAUGGUGUCCAGGACACAGCUGGGAGCUGAGGGGGGUCUAUAACAAGCGGCAACAGCGAGGGACUUAUUUCUGGAGAGAUGGAUCUUUAAAAGUAGAAGCUCGAACUGUUUGGGCAUAGACCUGGAUAGUAUGACAGAACUCUGCAGGCUAUCUCUACAGUAGAUUGCAAUUAUGCCCCCUUUAGCAGUUCUGUCUUGACGGAAAAUGUUGUAAUUGGGGAUGGACAUUUCAGAAUUUUUGGUGACCUUCCUAAGCCAGGAUUCAGUCACGGCUAGGACAUCAGGGUUGGUGAAGUGUGCUAAAGCAGUGAAUAAAGCAAACUUAGGGAGGAGGCUUCUGGUGUUAACAUGCAUGAACCCAAGGCAUUUGCGGUUGCAGAAGUCAGCAAAUGAGAGCACCUCGGGACACACAGGGCCUGGGUUAACCUCUACAUCACCAGAGGAACAGAGGAGGAGUAGGAUGACGGUACGGCUAAAGGCUAUAAGAACUGGUUGUCUAGUGCUUUGGGAACAGAGAAUAAAAGGAGCAGAUUUCUGGGCGUGGUAGGAUAGAUUCAGGGCAUAGUGUACAGACAAGAGUAUGGUAGGGUGUGAGUACAGUGGGGGUAAACCUAGGCAUUGAGUGACAAUGAGAGAGGUUGUAUCUCUGGAGGCGCCAGUUAAGCUAGGUGCGGUCUCCACAUGUGUGGGGAUGGGACAAGGGGGCUAUCUGAGUGAUGUUGAGCGGGACUAGGAGCUCCGCAGUAAAAUAAAACAAGGAGUGCUGCCCUAAACAACAGUAUACAAGGCAUAUUAACAUUAGAGAAAGGCAUAAAGCAAUCAGGGGUGGUAGGGUAGCCUAGUGGUUAGAGCGUCAAAUAGUAACCGUAAGGUUGCAAGAUCGAAUCCCCGAGCUGACAAGGUAAAAGUCUGUUGUUGUUCCCCUGAACAAGGCAGUUAACCCACUGUUCCUAGGCUGUCAUUGAAAAUAAGAAUUUGUUCUUAAAUAAAGGUGUUUAUUGGGAGAGCUAAGACAACAAUGGUUAAAGAGCUAGGACAACAACAAUGGGUAAAUGGCAAUGAAUGGGCAGAGAGGGUCAGUUAGCUACACACAGGGCCUGAGGCUGGGGUUGACAGAUAAACAAAAUGAAGUACUGUGUUAAUGAACUGUCCAGCAGGGAUCAGCUGUGUAGCCAAGAGAUCAUAGGGUCCAAUGAGCAGCAAUAGAUGAAACAGGGAGCAGUUUGGUAGUCGAUUAUAACACUAGGCGAGUGGGAGACAAGGUGUUCAGGAAGCUAGCGGGCCGGUGCCUAGCAGAUGGAUCAUCACCAACAUCCACAACCCAGAGGCUGGUUGAGAUCACAUUGGCUGAAUUAUAUCAGCAGACCAGUUGUGAUGGAUUGGUGGAGGGUCCAGGCCUAUACAAUGAGGGAAAAAAGUAUUUGAUCCCCUGCUUAUUUUGUACGUUUGCCCACUGACAAAGAAAUGAUCAGUCUAUAAUUUUAAUGGUAGGUUUAUUUGAACAGUGCGAGACAGAAUAACAACAAAAAAACGCAUGUCAAAAAUGUU